CCGAAAGCGAAGGGCCAUGGCGGCGGGUCCGGGCCUGAACCGGGCCGGGGCAGCCUCUCACCAAGCGGGGCGGUGAAGGCGAGCGGCUCCGACAACCCCUUCCGGGGGCCUGCUGGCGAGAGGGCUGCCGUCUGAGGAUCAUUUUCAGAUAAGACCCAACAGUACCUGUGCCACGUUCAGCUGCGGCUGCUGUGGUUUGAGGACAUGGCCGUGCUCCCCCAUGGGAUGGCACAAAGGUCAUCAGGGAUAUGAAAGUCUGUGUCCUCACCUCACCUGAGCAGACAUAAACCCACCGUCACCGCUGUGUCCUGGGUCCCCGGCUCUUUGCCCUGUUGGAGUCAGCACAUCCAGCUACUACCCACUCUGCAGAGGAAGACUCGGAUCUCUCUGAGGAGCCUGGCAUGCAGCUCUGCCCCGCUGCUCGAGCAUCACAGGGCUGAACUUGAGCAGCAGCGGAGGAUGAGGUGGCAGGCAGGCAGGAACACCUUCCUCUCUACGAUCACACAUUUCUGAUGGACAUCCAAGGUACCGCAGCCACCCAGGCAUCAACUGCCGUGCAUGGAGCGCUGGCUGAAAUGCACAAGAGAUCUUUGGCACAGCCCAGACUGCACACAGCUGCCUGGCAGCAGGGCCAGACCCCUGUGCAUUCAUUGUCCAUCCCCAGAGACGCCCAUGGAAACCAAUGUCCCCAGGCCAGCUGAUACGGCUUCUUGCAACCUCUCAGCUCCUACCCGCAACUGACACUGACUGAUCCUGUCAGCAGUUUCGUAACAAACAUCUUAAAGGCUCUUGGUGUCCUCAGUUUGCCCCUGCAGACAUAACCAACAGCAGUUUUCAUGUUGAUGCAUCAAGUAAGAACAGUAUGACAGCUUCUCCGCUAACACUCGGUGGUUUCAGAUAUCCUAAAGGAACAGGAGCUCCGACCACGAGACUCUGCAGAAACACCGGCCGCGGUGGACCCAGCUCUUACUGACAGGGUCAUCAAUAUCACAGGGUUGGAUGAGCCGAAAAUAAUCUAGAUGUCAGGCUGAUCUAUGGACGUCUCAGGACAUUUUUGUGGAGCAGUCCGCAGUUUUCCAAUUCAACUGCCCAAGCAUAUAUGAGACAUGCACACACGGGCUCUAUAUCAAGCAGCACCCUCUCCAUGUCACUGAAAAAGUAAUCAAAAGCAAGGAAAUAGCAACGAAUCCUACAAAGAAUAAGUAAUUGAAAUGAAGUAGUUACAUUAGAAAAUAGGAGACGCGAUUAGAAGCUGGGUUUUCUUAUGCCAGGAAGCCAGGAGAUAACAAACCUUAAGUGAUUCGCUAGUUCAAGAGCGUAUCAGCCAUCCAGUAACUUGGGCAGGGGGACUGGAGAAGGAAGGAAACAUUCCCCAGCUCUAUUGGUGUUACAUGGACUAGUGGGCAAAAGGCAGGUGGGAUGAAAUACAUGGGGGAAAGCCAAACCUGUAAAAUAAAUGAAAUAAAUUGUCAGUAUACUGCUUACCUCA
Molecule: long non-coding RNA, 1489 nt
Organism: Chroicocephalus ridibundus (black-headed gull)
Lineage: Eukaryota; Metazoa; Chordata; Aves; Charadriiformes; Laridae
Exons: 2
Source: RefSeq, a predicted model, not a curated record